RNAcentral lists this long non-coding RNA (4203 nucleotides) under Homo sapiens (human). RNAcentral's name for it is "HSALNT0080283". Lineage: Eukaryota; Metazoa; Chordata; Mammalia; Primates; Hominidae. The record is from RNAcentral.
CUCUGCUGCAGGUCUGCUGGAGUUGGCAGGGGGUCCAAUCCAGACCCUGUUUGCCUGGAUAUCACCAGGGGAGGCUGCUGAACUGCAAAGAUUGCUGCCUGCUCCUUCCUUUGGAAGCUUUGUCCCAGACAGGCACCUCCCAGAUGCCACCUGGAGCUCUCUUGUAUGAGAUAAUCUUCUCAACGUCAAACAAAUUCUCUAAUUUAAUAGAAAAAAAAACAAGCAGAAGCAGAAGAAGAAGAGGAGGGACAAAAAAGAAAGUAAAUCCUACUUCUUUGAAGUUUAUGUUAUUCGACUAAAUUGAUUCAUAUCUUCCCCUCUACAAUUACUCAAGUCAUCAAGCCAUUGCUUUUGGUGAUUACUGUAUCCAUGCUAAUAACUCAUUCCACACCUUGCCCUCUUGGUUUCUGGCCUUUUUCAUUUCCUUCAAUAUUUCCUCCACUCCAAUACAGCUACCUACUCUCAUGACUAUAUCCUAGACCAUAUUGUCACAAACAACAUUAUCACUUCUGAAAUCUUUUUGAACAUUGUAUUCUAAAAACAUCGCCUAUAUUUCUGGUUCAUAGCUCUGCUUUUUCUCUGCUUUAAAUCUUUGACCUCAUUAUGUCAGAGGUGUUUGAACCAGAGCGACUCCAUCUUAACUAGUGGCUGGAUAAAACAAGGCUGAGACCUACUGGGCUGCAUUCCCAGGAGGAUAGGGAAUUCUUAGUCACAGGAUGAGAUAGGAGGUCAGCACAAGAUACAGUUCACAAAGACCUUGCUGAUAAAACAGGUUGCUGUAAAGAAGCCAGCCAAAACCCACCAAAAAACCAAGAUAGCAGCAAGAGUGACCUCUGGUCCUUGCUGCUCAUUAUAUGCUAAUUCUAAUGCAUUCGUAUGAUAAAAGACACUCCCACCAGCACCUUGACAGAUUGCAAAUGCCAUGGAAACAUUGGGAAGUUACCGUAUAUAGUCUACAAAGGGGAGGAACCCUAUUGCCCACCCUUUUCUGGAAAACUCAUGAGUAAUCUAUCCCUUGUUUAGCAUAUAAUUCAGAAAUAACCAUAAAAAUAGGCAGCCAGCAGCCCUCAGGGCUGCUGCGUCUAUGGAGUAGCCAUUCUUUUAUUCCUUUACCUUCCUAAUAAACUUGCUUUCACUUUCACAAAUUACAAAUGUUGCUCAUACUUACUCUAUAAUCCUACCACACUUCUUUAGUGAGAUCAGUUUUUCAUGUUUAAAAAUGUUUAUUUCAUAUGGUAUUCUCUCACACUAUCAAUGUCUACUAAUGCAUUUUCAAACUCAAUUGAUUACUCCAUUUCCUUAAGAAAAUAAGUCAUCAAACAAAAACUCAAUUAUCUUCAUGCAGCAAAUCUAUAAUGUAUCUGUAUUUUUAUUCAUCUUUUAUAUUGUCAAGUAAAAAAAUCAACUUAGGUAAAGCUAGGCUUUAUUCAAAAGGGAUUAUUAUGAUAAGUGAAGGGAGAGUAUUGUAAUAGGGAGAAGGUUCAGGCCAUGAGAUCUGCAAGAAUCUAAAAGGUCAGGGAGAAUAGAAUUUUAUUUUAUAAAGGUUAGAAAAAAGCUUGGAAAUAACUAGGUGUGAGGGAGUGGGCGUGAUUGCAAUGAGACAGUUGAUCAAGGAAUGUCUUUCCUUUUAGUCAGCUAAUUCUCAGGAGUGGCCAACACAGAAGGGUUGUUUGAUGGCUCAGGGUGAGGAUAGGUCAAAAUCAGGGUCCUGGAGAAGGAGAAAAGCAAAUUUAGUCAAAUCAGCUAAUAAGCAGUUUAUUUUAACUGAUCAGGAGAGACAAACAGUUCAACUAAUCUUUUAUGAGGCAAAUAGAAAUUCAGAUGGUCUGUGUCUGGCCUUAUCAUAGGUAAACAAGAGGGACAUGAUGAGUCUCAUCUAAGCCAUAAGGGGAUGGGUUGUUUCUUGCAGUAUGCCAUCUCCCAAAAUGCAAAAGUAUGAAGGAUUUUUGUAACCAUCGUUGUUUUCCAGUAGCAUAGGACUCUGGAAAAGUUCAAUAGUGUCAGUUAUAUUUGCAUCUAUUAGUAUAGAAGUGUCUUAAACUCAUUUGCUUGUGCUCUUAUCAACAUUCUCUUUCUAUCUACUAAAGAUUCCAUUGAUUACCCUUUCUCUCCUUCUUCAUAAAGAUCUCCCUCUCUACUAGAUUAUUUCUGUAAACUCACAGUCAUGCCCACAUAUAUCCAAUCUGAAAACAAGUCAAGGCAAACAAACAAACUCCUCAUCUGUCUUUGGCUAUGUCCAUAUUUCUCUUCUCCCCUGACCAUGCAGGCUACCUGCGUCAACUCAUAUUCAAUUUUGGACACUCUAAAAUAUGGAGUUCAUCCUUCUCCUUCUCUUGAAAUAAAUACUGACCUCCACAUUACCAUUUCUAAUGGAUAUUUUUAUUUCCUCAUCUUUCUGUAACUCUCAGCAGGAUUGGACACAGGGGACCACUCCUUUUAUCUUGAAAUACUGUUUAUCUCACUUUCCAGUUUAUCACACUUUCAUAUAUUUUCUCCAGCACCUCACUGGAAGUUCUUUUUCACUUUCCACAGUCAACUCCUCUUCUACACAAUUUCCAAAUACUACCAUCUUCAGGCAUUUUUCUAGGCCCUUUUUCACUGUCUAAUUGCUCCUUGUGUGACCUCAUCCAUUCCCAAGGUUUUAAAUGCCUUCUGUAUCCCAUUGAUUUCAAAUUUGUACUUCAAUCAAGAUGUCUUCUUCUGAGAGCUCUAGACUCAUAAACACAACUUUCAAAUUGACAUCUCUAUUUGGAUAUCAGAGGUUAAGAGAACUUCUUCAACAAUGUGACCCAGUUCUGCUGCUUCUGCUAAGACCUUUCAGAUAUCUUGACUACCAUUGUGCCACCACAGGCUCCAAAGAUUGAGACAUUGUUUUCAAGAUCAUUCUAAUACUUAAUUUAUAAAAUAUUGUUGAUGACCAUAAGUGAAAGGUCAUCAUAGGCAUCCCUGAUACUACUCUUUUAACCCUCAGUUGAGAGAACCAUGCUACAUACUCUGCCAUAGGAUGCCUGCUGUGUGAUUUUAUUCAUCCAGUCAAGUAGGAUGUCCUAAAAAAAGAAUCUAGUGUGAGAACUAAAAGUUGUCAGAAAAUUAAUGAUUUGAGACUCUCUCCACUAAAUUGUGGCAGUACCCAAAUUGUUAUCACAAAUGACACUUUUUCUUUUUCCUAAUUACAUCAUCAUAGACAUGAGAGUGAGUGUGUUUGUUUAUCUGAGACUAAAGACUUCUAAUUUUAGGAUUUGUAGAUUGUAGACAUUGUGAACCCUGAAAAUCUGAGACAGGCCUCAGUUAAUUUAGAAAGUUUAUUUUGCCAAAGUUGAGAAUGUGUGCCCAUGACACAGCCUUAGGUGGUCCUGACAACAUGGGUCCAAUGUGGUCAGAGCACAAUUUGGUUUUAUGUAUUCUAGGGAGACAUGAGAUAUCAAUCAACAUAUGCAAGAUGAACACUGAUUCCAUCUGGAAGGGCGGGACAACUUGAAGCAAAGGCAGGAAGACUUGAAGCCAGAAGGAGGCUUCCAGAUCAUAGGUAGAUAAGAGACCAAUGGUUUCAUUCUUCUGAGUUUCUGAUAAGCCUCUCCAAAGGAGGCAAUCAGAUAUGCAUUUAUCUCAGUGAACAGAGGGAUGACUUUGAAUAGAAUGGGAGGCACGUUGGCCCUAAGCAAUUCCCAGCUUGACUUUUCCCUUUAGCUUAUGGAUUUCGUGGCCCCAAGAUUUAUUUUCCUUUCACAACAUGUGUUCCUAGAUGUAACUUUGUUUGAUAUUAUUGUCUAAUAUCUAACAGGCAUCACAAGCCUAAAUGGGUGUAAAGAAAGAAAAUUCUCAAUUUCCUGUUACAAAUAUGGUCCCUCUCACAGUUUUCUCAGUCUCAAUAAUUAUUACAACUAUCUAAUUCAUCUACCCAAUUAAUAAAUAUCAAUAUAUGGAGGCCAUUCUCAAUAAAUUAAUUUCUCUUUUCACAUCCAGUUCAUCAGCAACUCAUGUCAUCUUUAUCUAAAAAAUACAUCUCUACCUCUCUUUGUAAUUGCUCUCCUAAAAAUGAUUACCUUAGUGGUCCUGUAAGGCCAUCUUUUUGAUGUUUUUCAUUGCUGUUGUUUGUUGUUUUCUUUUUUUUUUCUUCUUUUUUUUUUUUUCUGAGACAGAGUAUUGCUCUGUCACCCAGGCUGGAUUGCAGUGGGGCAAUCUCAGCUCACUGCAACCUCUGCU